GACGAACGCUGGCGGCGCGCCUAACACAUGCAAGUCGAACGGAGUUAUUUUCUUCACUCCGAGCUUUUUGCCGGUUAGCCGGAGCGGCAAUCGGUUUUGCCCAGUAUAAAAAGCAAAACCAAUUUAGGCUCAUAAAGUAAGACUAACACAGAGGGCAGAGAGUUGGGAGUGAAGAAAAUAACUUAGUGGCGAACGGGUGAGUAACGCGUGAGUAACCUGCCCUGGAGUGGGGGACAACAGUUGGAAACGACUGCUAAUACCGCAUAAGCCCACGGCCCGGCAUCGGGCUGCGGGAAAAGGAUUUAUUCGCUUCAGGAUGGACUCGCGUCCAAUUAGCUGGUUGGUGAGGUAACGGCCCACCAAGGCGACGAUUGGGUAGCCGGACUGAGAGGUUGAACGGCCACAUUGGGACUGAGACACGGCCCAGACUCCUACGGGAGGCAGCAGUGGGGGAUAUUGCACAAUGGGGGAAAGCCUGACGGAGCAACGCCGCGUGAGUGAUGACGGCCU
This 510-nucleotide ribosomal RNA is filed under the name uncultured bacterium. RNAcentral's name for it is "bacterial SSU rRNA". It matches the Rfam family "Bacterial small subunit ribosomal RNA", at positions 28 to 417 of the family's 1533-position model. The record is from RNAcentral.